Molecule: ribosomal RNA, 301 nt
Filed under: uncultured bacterium
Lineage: Bacteria
Description: partial 16S ribosomal RNA
Rfam family: Bacterial small subunit ribosomal RNA
Source: RNAcentral
CAGUAGCCGCGGGAAUACGUAGGGUGAAAGCGUUAAUCGGAAUUACUGGGCGUAAAGCGUGCGCAGGCGGUUAUAUAAGACAGAUGUGAAAUCCCCGGGCUCAACCUGGGAACUGCAUUUGUGACUGUAUAGCUAGAGUACGGCAGAGGGGGAUGGAAUUCCGCGUGUAGCAGUGAAAUGCGUAGAUAUGCGGAGGAACACCGAUGGCGAAGGCAAUCCCCUGGGCCUGUACUGACGCUCAUGCACGAAAGCGUGGGGAGCAAACAGGAUUAGAUACCCGCGUAGUCCCUGUCUCUUAUAC